RNAcentral lists this long non-coding RNA (256 nucleotides) under Mytilus galloprovincialis (Mediterranean mussel). The record is from RNAcentral. Lineage: Eukaryota; Metazoa; Mollusca; Bivalvia; Mytilida; Mytilidae.
UGUGGUUUUAUAUUCAUAAUAUUUCAUAUGAAUCAGAAUAGUAGGUGUAGAAUGGCCAGGUGAACCACCAAUCUGAAUCAGAAUAGUAGGUGUAGAAUGGCCAGGUGAACCACCAAUCUGAAGCAAGUAACUGAACAAAUCUUAACUUUCCAAAAGAAUGAACAUGCCACAUCAUUUUUAAAUAAUGCCAAAAAGUCAUAAUCACAAUCUGUUGUAUUUAUUGUUGCAAUUUACCCUCUAGACCACUCUGCAAACA